AAAAGACUUAGUCCUAACCUUACCGUUAAUUCUUGCUAGACAUAUACAUGCAAGUAUCCGCGCCCCAGUGCAAAUGCCCUUAGCCCCUUAUUAGCUAUUAACUCUAACAGGGGAGAGGAGCAGGUAUCAGGCACACCCAUAGCUGUAGCCCAAGACGCCUUGCUCGGCCACACCCCCACGGGUACUCAGCAGUAGUUAACAUUAAGCAAUAAGCGCAAGCUUGACUUAGUCAUAGCAACCCUAGGGUUGGUAAAUCUUGUGCCAGCCACCGCGGUCACACAAGAGACCCAAAUUAACUGUAUGCGGCGUAAAGAGUGGCACUACAAUGUCACAGUAACUAGGACCGAAAUGCAACUAUGCUGUCAUAAGCUCAAGGUGCACUUAAGCCCGCCUCUAAGGUGGUCCUAGCACUCCUGACUGAUUCAACUCCACGAAAGCUAGGGCACAAACUGGGAUUAGAUACCCCAUUAUGCCUAGCCCUAAAUCCUGAUGCUUACCGUACCAAAGCAUCCGCCUGGGAACUACGAGCACAAACGCUUAAAACUCUAAGGACUUGGCGGUGUCCCAAACCCACCUAGAGGAGCCUGUUCUAUAAUCGAUAACCCACGAUUCACCCGACCACCUCUUGCCAGAGCAGCCUACAUACCGCCGUCGCCAGCUCACCUCCCCUGAGAGCCCAACAGUGAGCACAAUAGCCCAACCCACUAACAAGACAGGUCAAGGUAUAGCCCAUGGGGUGGAAGAAAUGGGCUACAUUUUCUACAAUAGAAAACCUACGAAAGAGGGUAUGAAAUAACCCCCGGAAGGCGGAUUUAGCAGUAAAGGGGGACAAUAGGGCCCCCUUUAAGUUGGCCCUGGGGCACGUACAUACCGCCCGUCACCCUCCUCACAAGCCACCAACUUUUAUAACUAAUAAGCCUUACGGCUGAAGAUGAGGUAAGUCGUAACAAGGUAAGUGUACCGGAAGGUGCACUUAGCACAC
This 982-nucleotide non-coding RNA is filed under the name Stercorarius maccormicki (South polar skua). Its description in RNAcentral is "12S ribosomal RNA". It matches the Rfam family "Bacterial small subunit ribosomal RNA". The record is from RNAcentral. Lineage: Eukaryota; Metazoa; Chordata; Aves; Charadriiformes; Stercorariidae.